GCUAGCCAGGAAGACAUGUAACCAUGUGUGGAAAAACAGGAAUUGGGGAGGGGCGAGGAAGAGGAAUUGGUCACCCGGCAGCAGGUGGUGGCUUAGACAAUCACAGGGGCUGAGGGGCUGGCUUCUCACUGCCAGGUCCUGGGCUGGGAAAAGAACUGAAGAACAGUUUGUUGACUGAGGAGCUGAAGGAUUAAGUGCAGAGCCACAUAUAUAUUUAAAGACCCUGUGGAAAAAAGUUAAUGAACAAAAAAGAAUUGGAAGAAGGUGAGAGAUUACCCGAGACAUCCAAAGGAUAAAAUGACUACUGGGCAUUUGGCUAAGCAGGGUAAAAUCCAAAAUGUCAUUGCCCAGAUCAAUGUCAUGGAGCUUGAGCUCAGGAGUUUGAGACCAGCCGGGGCAACAUGGACAACGUCUUAAAAAAAAAAAAAUUUAAAGCCGUGUGUGGUGGCAUAUGCCUUUAGUUCCAGCUACUCGGGAGGUUGAGGCAGGAGGAUCACUUGAGGCAGGGAGGUGGGGGCUGCAGUAAGCCAUGAUCAUGCCACUGCAUUCCAGUCUGGGUGACACAGACUGUCUCAAGAAAAAAAAAAUCAUGUCAUCUGCAAAUGGACAACUCAACGUUUUUCUUUCCAAUUUGGAUGUCUUUUGUUUCUGCUGCCUAGUUGUUCUAACACCUCCAGUACUAUACUGAAUUGAAGUGGUGAGAGGGCAUCCUUGUCUUGUUCUGGAUCUUCUUUCUCUGUUGAUGAUGAUGCUAGCUGUGGCUCUGUCAUAUGUGGCUUUUAUUGUGUAGUUGCACAUUCUUUAUAUACCUAAUUUGUUGAUAGUUUUCAUCACUAAUAGAUGUUGAAUCUGUCUAAUGCUUUUUUCUGCAUAUAUUUAAUGCUCAUGGAGUCAUACGGUUUGGAACUCUAUCUCUACCCAAAUCUCAUGUUCAACUAUAAUCCCCAGUGUUGGAGAUGGGGCCUCUUGGGAGGUGAUUGGGUCAUGGGGGCAGUUUCUCAUGGUUUAACACCAUCCCCCUUGGUGUUUCUGUGGCAAUAGCAAGUUAUCAUGAGAUCAUGUUUGAAAGUGUGUAGUGCCUACCCCCACCCCUCCUGCUCCAGCCAUGUGAUGUGCCAGUUUCCCCUUCGCCUUCCACCAUAAUUGAAGCUGAGCAGAUGCUGCCAUGCUUCCUGUACAACCUAUGGAACCAUGAGCCAAUUAAACCUCUUUUCUUUGGAAAU
Gorilla gorilla gorilla (western lowland gorilla) is the source of this 1223-nucleotide long non-coding RNA. RefSeq lists it as uncharacterized. The transcript has 3 exons. NCBI's taxonomy places the organism in Eukaryota, Metazoa, Chordata, Mammalia, Primates, Hominidae. The record is from RefSeq and is a predicted model, not a curated record.